CCUACGAGAGGCAGCAGUGAGGAAUAUUGGUCAAUGGGCGCGAGCCUGAACCAGCCAAGUCGCGUGAGGGAAGACGGUCCUAUGGUUUGUAAACCUCUUUUGUCGGGGAGCAAAAGACGCCACGCGUGGCGUUCCGAGAGUACCCGAAGAAAAAGCAUCGGCUAACUCCGUGCCAGCCGCCGCGGUAAUACGGAGGAUGCGAGCGUUAUCGGGAUUUAUUGGGUUUAACGGGUGGGCAGGCGGAAGAUCAAGUCAGCGGUAAAAUUGAGAGGCUCAACCUCUUCGGGCCGUUGAAACUGGUUUUCUUGAGUGAGUGAGAGGUAUGCGGAAUGCGAGGUGUAGCGGUGAAAUGCAUAGAUAUCACGCAGAACUCCGAUUGCGAAGGCAGCAUACCGGCGCUCAACUGACGCUCAUGCACGAAAGUGUGGGUAGCGAACAGGAUUAGAUACCCUUGUAGUC
Molecule: ribosomal RNA, 459 nt
Filed under: uncultured bacterium
Lineage: Bacteria
Description: partial 16S ribosomal RNA
Rfam family: Bacterial small subunit ribosomal RNA
Source: RNAcentral